Molecule: ribosomal RNA, 279 nt
Filed under: uncultured Gordonibacter sp.
Lineage: Bacteria; Bacillati; Actinomycetota; Coriobacteriia; Eggerthellales; Eggerthellaceae
Description: partial 16S ribosomal RNA
Rfam family: Archaeal small subunit ribosomal RNA
Source: RNAcentral
GCCGCCGCGGUAAUACCGGCUGCUCGAGUGAUGGCCACUAUUACUGGGUUUAAAGCGUCCGUAGCUUGACUGAUAGGUCUCUUGGGAAAUCUUAACGCUUAACGUUAAGGCGUCUAAGAGAUACCGUCAGUCUUGGAACUGGGAGAGGUAAACCGUACUUCGGGGGUAGGAGUGAAAUCUUGUAAUCCUCGAGGGACGACCUAUGGCGAAGGCAGUUUACCAGAACAGCUUCGACAGUGAGGGACGAAAGCUGGGGGAGCAAACGGGAUUAGAUACCCC